GACGAACGCUGGCGGCGUGCUUAACACAUGCAAGUCGAACGGAAAGGCCCUGCUUUUGUGGGGUGCUCGAGUGGCGAACGGGUGAGUAACACGUGAGUAACCUGCCCUUGACUUUGGGAUAACUUCAGGAAACUAGGGCUAAUACCGGAUAGGAGCUCCUGCUGCAUGGUGGGGGUUGGAAAGUUUCGGCGGUUGGGGAUGGACUCGCGGCUUAUCAGCUUGUUGGUGGGGUAGUGGCUUACCAAGGCUUUGACGGGUAGCCGGCCUGAGAGGGUGACCGGCCACAUUGGGACUGAGAUACGGCCCAGACUCCUACGGGAGGCAGCAGUGGGGAAUAUUGCACAAUGGGCGGAAGCCUGAUGCAGCAACUCCGCGUGCGGGAUGACGGCCUUCGGGUUGUAAACCGCUUUCGCCUGUGACGAAGCGUGAGUGACGGUAAUGGGUAAAGAAGCACCGGCUAACUACGUG
RNAcentral lists this ribosomal RNA (468 nucleotides) under uncultured bacterium. Its description in RNAcentral is "partial 16S ribosomal RNA". It matches the Rfam family "Bacterial small subunit ribosomal RNA", at positions 28 to 507 of the family's 1533-position model. The record is from RNAcentral.